Apteryx haastii (Great spotted kiwi) is the source of this 1167-nucleotide long non-coding RNA. The record is from Ensembl. Lineage: Eukaryota; Metazoa; Chordata; Aves; Apterygiformes; Apterygidae.
AGAUUCAGAAGCAGAGUCCCACCUGGGUCACCAAAACUGUCACCGAAAUAGGAAAUAAAACUCCUUAACACCAAUGUAGCAUUAAGAAGCAGGCAUUCUCUUUAUUAUGGCGCCGGGUGCAUGGGGGAUCGCUCUGCCCAAUGUGCAUGCCAUAUGUUGCAUUAGCCAAAGUUUAUAUUCCUCUGUUACAUACAUAUAUGCAUUAAAUUUCCAGGAAUGAUUAUACAUAUUCAUUCUAUUUCCUGGAACUAAUCACCAUAUUUACAUAGUCAUUACACAUGCGGUCUGAGUCUCUGGGGGUCUUCUGUGGGGGUCUCUGGUGGUCCCUGGUGGUCCCUAGUGGUUGCUGAAGAGGUGCCUUUUCCAUGAACUCUGAGCUCCUUUUCCAUAUAUGGUCUCGGCUUGGCUCAUUUCUUUGCUUGAGAAAGCUGUAUUCCUCCUAACCUUGGUUUCACCUGGUUUCUGCUGGUUUAUCUGUACCCCCUUAGGAUGUAUCAGUGAGAGCUGCGAGAACUGUAUCCUUGGGUGCAUUCUUGUCUGAAGCUCCUGGUAACAAAGUGACCAGCACUGGCCUAACAGGCACUGAGGAACAAAUGACCUCAUAACCACAAACAACAGACACAUCACCAGCACAGGCCUGUCAGGCACUGAGCCACAAGUGACCUCACAACCACAAACAGCAUCCACCUGACCAGCACUGGCCUAUCAGGCACCGAGGCUCAAGUGACCUCACAACCACAAACAAAAACAACAUGACCAGAACUGACCUAACAGCAACUGAGGCACAAGUGACCUCACAACCACUAACAGGAGGCAGAUGACCAGCAACGGCCUAUCAGGCACUGAGGCACUGGUAACCUCACAACCACAAACUGCACCCACAUGACCAGCACUGGCCUAUCAGGCACUGAGCCACAAGUGACAUCACAAACACAAACUGCACCCACAGGACCAGCACUGGCCUAUCAGGCACUGAGGCACAAGCAUCACCAAAGCUAUGGGCAUGCUGUUGGCCUACCAGAUUCAGAGGCACAACUCACCUCACAAGCACAAAUGGCAUCGACCUGCCUGCUGCUGCCCUAUCUGGGACCGAGUCACAAGGGAUCUGAAAAGUGCAAGCUCACCUGGGCCACUCUCACAUCCUUCGAUUACGCUGUGAUCACUCCA